RNAcentral lists this ribosomal RNA (1346 nucleotides) under metagenome. RNAcentral's name for it is "bacterial LSU rRNA". It matches the Rfam family "Bacterial large subunit ribosomal RNA", at positions 1570 to 2925 of the family's 2925-position model. The record is from RNAcentral.
CGACCCGUUACGACGGGGAAGUGUCUGAUGUCAGGCUUCCAAGAAAAGCCCGAACCACGUUAAUUCAAAUUGGCCCGUACCCUAAACCGACACAGGUGGGAAGGUAGAGUAUACCCAGGGGCGCGAGAUAACUCUCUCUAAGGAACUCGGCAAAAUGGCCCCGUAACUUCGGGAGAAGGGGUGCCACCGAGAGGUGGUCGCAGUGAAGAGUCCCAGGCGACUGUUUACCAAAAACACAGGUCUCCGCUAAGUCGCAAGACGAUGUAUGGGGGCUGACGCCUGCCCAGUGCCGGAAGGUUAAGGAAGUUGGUCAGGGAGAAAUCCUGAAGCUAGCGACUGAAGCCCCGGUGAACGGCGGCCGUAACUAUAACGGUCCUAAGGUAGCGAAAUUCCUUGUCGGGUAAGUUCCGACCCGCACGAAAGGCGUAACGAUCUGGGAGCUGUCUCGGAGAGAGGCUCGGCGAAAUAGGAAUGUCUGUGAAGAUACGGACUACCUGCACCCGGACAGAAAGACCCUAUGAAGCUUUACUGUAGCUUGGUAUUGGGUUCGGGCUUUGAUUGCGCAGGAUAGGUGGGAGACUAUGAGAUAGCUCUUGUGGGAGUUAUGGAGUCACUGGUGAGAUACCACUCUAUCAAGGCUAGAAUUCUAACUUUGACCCGUUAUCCGGGCAGAGAACAGUAUCAGGUGGGCAGUUUGACUGGGGCGGUCGCCUCCUAAAUGGUAACGGAGGCGCGCAAAGGUUCCCUCAGGCUGGUUGGAAAUCAGCCAUUGAGUGUAAAGGCAUAAGGGAGCUUGACUGCGAGACUGACAAGUCGAGCAGGUACGAAAGUAGGCCUUAGUGAUCCGACGGUUCCGCGUGGAAGGGCCGUCGCUCAACGGAUAAAAGUUACUCUAGGAUAACAGGCUGAUCUCCCCCAAGAGUUCACAUCGACGGGGAGGUUUGGCACCUCGAUGUCGGCUCAUCGCAACCUGGGGCUGUAGUCGGUCCCAAGGGUUGGGCUGUUCGCCCAUUAAAGCGGUACGUGAGCUGGGUUCAGAACGUCGUGAGACAGUUCGGUCCAUAUCCGGUGCAGGCGUAGGAACAUUGAGAGGAGUCUUCCUUAGUACGAGAGGACCGGGAAGAACGCACCGCUGGUGUACCUGUUAUCGUGCCAACGGUAAACGCAGGGUAGCCAAGUGCGGAGAGGAUAACCGCUGAAAGCAUCUAAGUGGGAAGCCCACCUCAAGAUGAGUGUUCCCAUGGCAAAAGCCAGUAAGGUCACGGGUAGACCACCCGUUAAUAGGCGCUAGAUGGAAGUCCAGCAAUGGAUGUAGUCGAGGCGUACUAACAGACCGAGGGCUUGAC